Molecule: ribosomal RNA, 260 nt
Filed under: uncultured bacterium
Lineage: Bacteria
Description: partial 16S ribosomal RNA
Rfam family: Bacterial small subunit ribosomal RNA
Source: RNAcentral
ACGAGUGGCGGACGGGUGAGUAAUGUCUGGGAAACUGCCCGGUGGAGGGGGAUAACUACUGGAAACGGUAGCUAAUACCGUAUAACGUCGCAAGACCAAAGAGGGGGACCUUCGGGCCUCUUGCCACCGGAUGUGCCCAGAUGGGAUUAGCUUGUUGGUGAGGUAACGGCUCACCAAGGCGACGAUCCCUAGCUGGUCUGAGAGGAUGACCAGCCACACUGGAACUGAGACACGGUCCAGACUCCUACGGAAGGCAGCAG